AUCACACAAUGGGUAAGUGUGUCUGGCUGUUAACCAGAAGGCUGGUGGUUUGAAUCCAUCCAGGGAUG
RNAcentral lists this transfer RNA (68 nucleotides) under Podarcis lilfordi (Lilford's wall lizard). Its description in RNAcentral is "tRNA.Asn". The stretch from base 4 to 60 matches the Rfam family "tRNA", at positions 10 to 63 of the family's 71-position model. From Rfam's summary of the family: Transfer RNA (tRNA) molecules are approximately 80 nucleotides in length. Their secondary structure includes four short double-helical elements and three loops (D, anti-codon, and T loops). Lineage: Eukaryota; Metazoa; Chordata; Lepidosauria; Squamata; Lacertidae. The record is from RNAcentral.